AAUCUUAACCCAUCCCAUUUGGCGGCCUUCAAUCUUAUUAGAGGAACUUGUUAUUUAACCGAUGAUACGCGAUAUUUUUUCCUUAAACCCAGUUUUUAUACCGCCGUCCAAAGGAUAAAAUUAGAUAUUUUACCCAUCACAUACCCCACCAAGUAAAAAUGUCAGGUCGAGGUGAAGCUAAUGUUUGAGUUUCAAUGAGUUAUCAAUAAAAAUAAUUUAUGGACUUUUGUUAAAAAACAUAAAUCGAAUUAAGAUUUAAAAGUAUUUUCAGUUCAUUACAGUGAAAAGAAGAAGCAAAAAAGGUGUACAUAUCGCCCGUCGCCCUCGUCCAAAGAUGAGGUAAGUCGUAACACAGUUAAUAUACUGGAAAGUGUAUUAAGCGCAUUAAUUCUAGCUUUAAGCAUUUCACUUACACUGAAAAGAUUUCAUUUACUUAGAUUUCAAUUUCAUGUAUAAAAUCUUUGUCCUAAUAUUUAUCUAAUUCAACACUUUAAAAACUGAAAAGGAACAUUAUAAUAUAAUAAAAGUAAAAUCAUGUACCUUUUGUAUCAGGGAUUAUCAAACCAUUAUGAAGACUCCAUUCUCCCGAAAUAGGGCGAACUUUGUAUUUUAGUAAAAGUUAUGGCAUAAACAAUAUAAACUAUAUAAAGAUGAGAUAUUCUUCUCAAGCUUCCCUUUAUCUGGUUCACUUUUCAUUUAUACACCCAAACAACAUAAAGAACAAGCUUUGUGCUUAGGUUUUCAAUUCUCCACACCCUUUUACUCUAGAAUUAAUAGUAUUCAUGUAGUCUUCAAACCCUUCCACCGUACUCUUUCCAAACAAAAAUCAAGUGGCCAUUCCCAUCAAUCUUACAAUGAAAAUAUUAGUAAAAUUUUUCCUUCUCUUUUUCUAUAAAAACCCCACCCCCUAAUCAUAAAUUCACAUCGAAAUUAUGAACUAGGCCCUCAAUCAAUUGACUGUUUAUCAAAAACAUAGCUAAUAGGUUACAAUUAUUAGUAGUACCUGCUCCAUGAGAAAUAAAUAGCCGCAAA
RNAcentral lists this ribosomal RNA (1032 nucleotides) under Calisoga sp. X DHL-215. RNAcentral's name for it is "partial 12S ribosomal RNA". The record is from RNAcentral. Lineage: Eukaryota; Metazoa; Arthropoda; Arachnida; Araneae; Nemesiidae.